CUGAGAACCGGGACGACGACCAAAAAAAACGAACGAUUCACUCGGCCAGCGCCAUCGCGCUCGCGCUGCUCCGGCUCACGGUGCCGGCGUCGGCUCCGAGCUCCGCGACGGCCCGGCUGGCCGCGGGUGUGGCGAGGAAGGUGGGCCAGUCCUCGCCGGCCAUGAUGACCACCACGUGCUCCCGGACCCCCGCCGCCGGCCUGGCCGCGCCGGUCGCCGAGCCCUUCUCCCCGUCGGCGCCGGCGCCGGCGCCGCCAGCUUCUCCGGCGGCCCGCUGGUCGCGCCCCGCGUCGAGGUACCCGGACAGCUUCCAGUAGGAGCAGGCCAGGAUGAGCAGCGC
Molecule: unclassified non-coding RNA, 340 nt
Filed under: Zea mays
Lineage: Eukaryota; Viridiplantae; Streptophyta; Magnoliopsida; Poales; Poaceae
Description: misc RNA Zm00001eb274900
Source: RNAcentral